This is a long non-coding RNA of Bubalus bubalis (water buffalo), 1352 nucleotides long. RefSeq lists it as uncharacterized. The record is from RefSeq and is a predicted model, not a curated record. The transcript is spliced from 4 exons. NCBI's taxonomy places the organism in Eukaryota, Metazoa, Chordata, Mammalia, Artiodactyla, Bovidae.
CUAAAAAUAAAUAAAUAGAUAAAUUUAAAAAAUAAGAUUCAAAAUAGUACCUAUCUCUAUUUGUAUUAUAAUAGUACCUAUCUCUAUUAGUACUAAAUUAUAAGAAUUAAAUUAGUAGACCACAUAGAGGGCUCAGAAGUAUUUUAGGCACAUAGUAAGUCCUCAAAAAUAUCGGCUAUUAUAUUAUUAUUCUUUGCUAUUAUUACUAUUAUUGAGAGCAUUUUUCCUGGAUCUUGGAGUGAUUUCUGCUCCCAUCUCUAAGACUGACCCUCUUCAAUGGCAGGGCUUGCAGCCACCUCUGAACACUGACCAUUCCCUGUCUUUCUCUGCAGUGACUGGAAACAGCAUUGAAAUGGCAGCCCCAGGGCCAGAGGUCAGCUUCCCCUUCUCCUGUGGAAAGGUGGGGCUGGUAUCACUCACUUAAUUUGGAGAAUUUCCAUAGCAUUUUCCCCACAUUUUGCUUGGGUUAGCUUAUUUACACCAACCAUGCAUCUUAUCACUGUCAUAAAUUUUUAUUCCCAUGGACAUGUCUAAACUUAUGGGUUGAAAUAACAUAAUUUACAUGCUGUUUAGUAUGCAGAUUGGGCUAAUCCACUUCUAUAAAUUCACCACCAGGCCUGUGCAGCCGCCCUCUCUCUGUAGGACCUCAACCUCAUUUGAAUAUCACACUCUAUUGUGUGGUUGGUGGUGUGAAAUGCUUGGGUCAAGAGCCGCCCCCUAGACAGCUGAGCACUGACCCGACAGACUGCCUGUGCCUGCAGUCCGUGGGUGCGGCACAGCCCUUCCCCCAGCAGAGGCCUCCUUCCCUGUGGGUCGCUCCCACAGGUCCUCCGGCUGAAAGCUGAGAAGUCACUAGGAACCAGGAAAAGACAGCAAACAAACAAAUAUUUAAUACAUCAGGCAGUCGAGAGUACAAUAGAGAAACUGCAAGCGGAGGAGGAAGAUGAAGAUACAGUCCUGUAUACAGAGCCCCAGAAGACUUGAGGUCAAGACCAGCGCUGCCACUAACUCACAUCAUCUCUCUACACUUGUUUUCGUCACUGUGAAAUGAGAGGGUUAGACCAGAUGUUGUCUAAACCUCCUCCAGCAUGGAUUCCAGAAGCCAUUCUUGAUAGCAGCAAAACCAUCUGCACACAUUCUAUGGGGCUUGAUGGGCUGCUCUGGAGAGGAGAGGAGUCUCCCAGGAAAGUAUGAGUGCGACUGGGGAAGGAGACUGGAGAAGAGAUAUAGACCCUUAAAGAGAGAUCCCUGACAAGCCAAAUAAAAAGUUUUGUUUUUGUCUUGUUUUGUUGCAAAGUGAGAGCCCAAUUUGGAGCAAUUAAAUUGACAACCAACCCAACCCAAUUCUCACC